GACGAACGCUGGCGGCGUGCUUAACACAUGCAAGUCGAACGGAAAGGCCCCUUUGGGGGUACUCGAGUGGCGAACGGGUGAGUAACACGUGAGUAACCUGCCCUUGACUUCGGGAUAACUUCAGGAAACUGGGGCUAAUACCGGAUAGGAAUCCUUGCUGCAUGGUGGGGGUUGGAAAGCUUCGGCGGUUUUGGAUGGACUCGCGGCUUAUCAGCUUGUUGGUGGGGUAGUGGCUUACCAAGGCUUUGACGGGUAGCCGGCCUGAGAGGGCGACCGGCCACAGUGGGACUGAGAGACGGCCCAGACGCCGACGGGAGGCAGCAGGGGGGAAGAUUGCACAAGGGGCGGAAGCCGGAUGCAGCAACGCCGCGGGCGGGAGGACGGCCUUCGGGUUGGAAACCGCGUUCAGCAGGGGCGAAGCUUGUGGUGACGGUACCUGCAGAAGAAGCACCGGCUAACUACGUG
This 465-nucleotide ribosomal RNA is filed under the name uncultured bacterium. Its description in RNAcentral is "partial 16S ribosomal RNA". It matches the Rfam family "Bacterial small subunit ribosomal RNA", at positions 28 to 507 of the family's 1533-position model. The record is from RNAcentral.